This 881-nucleotide ribosomal RNA is filed under the name Schizoxylon gilenstamii. Its description in RNAcentral is "mitochondrial SSU rRNA". It matches the Rfam family "Bacterial small subunit ribosomal RNA", at positions 370 to 1210 of the family's 1533-position model. The record is from RNAcentral. Lineage: Eukaryota; Fungi; Ascomycota; Lecanoromycetes; Ostropales; Stictidaceae.
AAUAGCCUAACGGCUGAACCAGCAACUUGGGGGAAUGUAUAUCAAAUGUUUGAUAGUAAAGAACUCUGUUCUAUAAAAUUCUAGAUAAAAAGGUGAAAGGACAUUUUUUAUUUAUAUGUCUUGACCAAGUCACGUGCCAGCAGUCGCGGUAAUACGUGGAAGACUAGUGUUAUUCAUCUUUAAUCGGUUUAAAGGGUACCUAGACAGUCAAUCAAGCCUAACAAAGGGACUAGUAGACUAGAGUGUAAUAUAAGAACUUAGUAUGAUGAAGUGAAGAGAUCAAAUUCUGUAAUACCAUUCUACACUGGCAAAGGCGAAAGCAAUUUUUUAUGUAAACACUGACGUUGAGGGACGAAGGCUUUAAGUUACGAACAGGAUUAGUUACCCUAGUAGUGAAAGCAGACAAUGAUGAGUGUCAUAUGUAAGUUAAUAAUUUGUGUAUAAAUGAAAGUGUAAACACUCCACCUCAAGAGUAAUACGGCAACGUAUAAACUGAAAUCACUAGACCGUUUNUGAAACCAGCAGUGAAGUAUGUUGUUUAAUUUGAUGGUCCACGGAAAACCUUACCACAAUAUGAAUAUUUAUAUUUUAAUAUAUUUACAGGUGUUGCACGGCUGUCUUCAGUUAAUGUCGUGAGAUUUUGGUUAGCUCCAUUAAAUUAAUGUAAACCCUUACUUUAUUUUUUUUUUAUAUAUUAGGUGCCCAGGCCUAAUAUAGCUAAAUUUAUACCUCUUACUUUUUUUAAGUAUUAAGUAUAUUUCGCCUUUUUUAGGCUUUAGUUUCUAUGAAUUCUUCUCUUAGAAUAAAACAUAAAGUAGUUCUUCGCUAAAUUGAAUUGUGAUAACAGGGACUAAGACAAGUCAUCAUGACUCUAACAUUGU